UUUGGUUAAGUUAGAAAGGGCGCACGGUGGAUGCCUUGACACUAGGAGUCGAUGAAGGACGGGACUAACGCCGAUAUGCUUCGGGGAGCUGUAAGUAAGCUUUGAUCCGAAGAUUUCCGAAUGGGGAAACCCACCAUACGUAAUGGUAUGGUAUCCUUAUCUGAAUACAUAGGGUAAGGAAGACAGACCCAGGGAACUGAAACAUCUAAGUACCUGGAGGAAGAGAAAGCAAAUGCGAUUUCCUGAGUAGCGGCGAGCGAAACGGAACAUAGCCCAAACCAAGAGGCUUGCCUCUUGGGGUUGUAGGACAUUCUAUACGGAGUUACAAAGGAACGAGGUAGACGAAGCGACCUGGAAAGGUCCGUCGUAGAGGGUAACAACCCCGUAGUCGAAACUUCGUUCUCUCUUGAAUGUAUCCUGAGUACGGCGGAACACGUGAAAUUCCGUCGGAAUCUGGGAGGACCAUCUCCCAAGGCUAAAUACUCCCUAGUGAUCGAUAGUGAACCAGUACCGUGAGGGAAAGGUGAAAAGCACCCCGGAAGGGGAGUGAAAGAGAUCCUGAAACCGUGUGCCUACAAAUAGUCAGAGCCCGUUAACGGGUGAUGGCGUGCCUUUUGUAGAAUGAACCGGCGAGUUACGAUCCCGUGCGAGGUUAAGCUGAAGAGGCGGAGCCGCAGCGAAAGCGAGUCUGAAUAGGGCGUUUAGUACGUGGUCGUAGACCCGAAACCAGGUGAUCUACCCAUGUCCAGGGUGAAGUUCAGGUAACACUGAAUGGAGGCCCGAACCCACGCACGUUGAAAAGUGCGGGGAUGAGGUGUGGGUAGCGGAGAAAUUCCAAUCGAACCUGGAGAUAGCUGGUUCUCCCCGAAAUAGCUUUAGGGCUAGCCUUAAGUGUAAGAGUCUUGGAGGUAGAGCACUGAUUGGACUAGGGGUCCUCAUCGGAUUACCGAAUUCAGUCAAACUCCGAAUGCCAAUGACUUAUCCUUAGGAGUCAGACUGCGAGUGAUAAGAUCCGUAGUCAAAAGGGAAACAGCCCAGACCGCCAGCUAAGGUCCCAAAGUGUGUAUUAAGUGGAAAAGGAUGUGGAGUUGCUUAGACAACUAGGAUGUUGGCUUAGAAGCAGCCACCAUUUAAAGAGUGCGUAAUAGCUCACUAGUCGAGUGACUCUGCGCCGAAAAUGUACCGGGGCUAAAUACACCACCGAAGCUGCGGAUUGAUACCGAAUGGUAUCAGUGGUAGGGGAGCGUUCUAAGGACAGUGAAGUCAGACCGGAAGGACUGGUGGAGUGCUUAGAAGUGAGAAUGCCGGUAUGAGUAGCGAAAGACGGGUGAGAAUCCCGUCCACCGAAUGCCUAAGGUUUCCUGAGGAAGGCUCGUCCGCUCAGGGUUAGUCAGGACCUAAGCCGAGGCCGACAGGCGUAGGCGAUGGACAACAGGUUGAUAUUCCUGUACCACCUCUUUAUCGUUUGAGCAAUGGAGGGACGCAGAAGGAUAGAAGAAGCGUGCGAUUGGUUGUGCACGUCCAAGCAGUUAGGCUGAUAAGUAGGCAAAUCCGCUUAUCGUAAAGGCUGAGCUGUGAUGGGGAAGCUCCUUAUGGAGCGAAGUCUUUGAUUCCCCGCUGCCAAGAAAAGCUUCUAGCGAGAUAAAAGGUGCCUGUACCGCAAACCGACACAGGUAGGCGAGGAGAGAAUCCUAAGGUGUGCGAGAGAACUCUGGUUAAGGAACUCGGCAAAAUGACCCCGUAACUUCGGGAGAAGGGGUGCUUUCUUAACGGAAAGCCGCAGUGAAUAGGCCCAAGCGACUGUUUAGCAAAAACACAGCUCUCUGCGAAGCCGUAAGGCGAAGUAUAGGGGGUGACACCUGCCCGGUGCUGGAAGGUUAAGGAGAGGGGUUAGCGUAAGCGAAGCUCUGAACUGAAGCCCCAGUAAACGGCGGCCGUAACUAUAACGGUCCUAAGGUAGCGAAAUUCCUUGUCGGGUAAGUUCCGACCCGCACGAAAGGUGUAACGAUUUGGGCACUGUCUCAACCAGAGACUCGGUGAAAUUAUAGUACCUGUGAAGAUGCAGGUUACCCGCGACAGGACGGAAAGACCCCGUGGAGCUUUACUGUAGCCUGAUAUUGAAUUUUGGUACAGUUUGUACAGGAUAGGCGGGAGCCUUUGAAACCGGAGCGCUAGCUUCGGUGGAGGCGCUGGUGGGAUACCGCCCUGACUGUAUUGAAAUUCUAACCUACGGGUCUUAUCGACCCGGGAGACAGUGUCAGGUGGGCAGUUUGACUGGGGCGGUCGCCUCCUAAAGUGUAACGGAGGCGCCCAAAGGUUCCCUCAGAAUGGUUGGAAAUCAUUCGUAGAGUGCAAAGGCAUAAGGGAGCUUGACUGCGAGACCUACAAGUCGAGCAGGGACGAAAGUCGGGCUUAGUGAUCCGGUGGUUCCGCAUGGAAGGGCCAUCGCUCAACGGAUAAAAGCUACCCCGGGGAUAACAGGCUUAUCUCCCCCAAGAGUCCACAUCGACGGGGAGGUUUGGCACCUCGAUGUCGGCUCAUCGCAUCCUGGGGCUGUAGUCGGUCCCAAGGGUUGGGCUGUUCGCCCAUUAAAGCGGUACGCGAGCUGGGUUCAGAACGUCGUGAGACAGUUCGGUCCCUAUCCGUCGUGGGCGUAGGAAAUUUGAGAGGAGCUGUCCUUAGUACGAGAGGACCGGGAUGGACGCACCGCUGGUGUACCAGUUGUUCUGCCAAGGGCAUAGCUGGGUAGCUAUGUGCGGAAGGGAUAAGUGCUGAAAGCAUCUAAGCAUGAAGCCCCCCUCAAGAUGAGAUUUCCCAUAGCGUAAGCUAGUAAGAUCCCUGAAAGAUGAUCAGGUUGAUAGGUUCGAGGUGGAAGCAUGGUGACAUGUGG
RNAcentral lists this ribosomal RNA (2890 nucleotides) under Salmonella enterica subsp. enterica serovar Oranienburg. Its description in RNAcentral is "partial 23S ribosomal RNA". It matches the Rfam family "Bacterial large subunit ribosomal RNA". The record is from RNAcentral. Lineage: Bacteria; Pseudomonadati; Pseudomonadota; Gammaproteobacteria; Enterobacterales; Enterobacteriaceae.